This 619-nucleotide ribosomal RNA is filed under the name uncultured bacterium. RNAcentral describes it as "bacterial SSU rRNA". It matches the Rfam family "Bacterial small subunit ribosomal RNA", at positions 31 to 642 of the family's 1533-position model. The record is from RNAcentral.
GAACGCUGGCGGCAGGCUUACACAUGCAAGUCGAGCGGUAACAUUUCUAGCUUGCUAGAAGAUGACGAGCGGCGGACGGGUGAGUAACGCGUAGGAAUCUGCCUAGUAGUGGGGGACAACAUGUGGAAACGCAUGCUAAUACCGCAUACGCCCUACGGGGGAAAGGAGGGGAUCUUCGGACCUUUCGCUAUUAGAUGAGCCUGCGUGAGAUUAGCUAGUUGGUGGGGUAAAGGCCUACCAAGGCGACGAUCUCUAGCUGGUCUGAGAGGAUGAUCAGCCACACUGGGACUGAGACGCGGCCCAGACUCCUACGGGAGGCAGCAGUGGGGAAUAUUGGACAAUGGGCGCAAGCCUGAUCCAGCCAUGCCGCGUGUGUGAAGAAGGCCUUAGGGUUGUAAAGCACUUUCAGGAGUGAGGAAGGGCGUGCAGUUAAUACCUGUAUGUCUUGACGUUAACUCCAGAAGAAGCACCGGCUAACUCUGUGCCAGCAGCCGCGGUAAUACAGAGGGUGCGAGCGUUAAUCGGAAUUACUGGGCGUAAAGCGCGCGUAGGCGGUUUGUUAAGUCGGAUGUGAAAUCCCAGGGCUCAACCUUGGAAUGGCACCCGAUACUGGCAGGCU